CAUGCCAAAAUCUCAGCAAAAAUCAAGCUCAAAACAACUCCAAACCAAGACACAGAUAAUCGCAAGAAGAUCCACGGGCCCAAACAAGCUAUGCUUCCUCCAUUCUUAUGGCAAUUAAACCAAACAAGGCUUUCUUUUGUCACUCAACGCAUGGUCCCUGAUACAAAAGCAGGGAAAAACCUGACACAGGGCAAUAUGGCCACACUGUCCAACUAGCCAAAUACAACUUAAAAAGUAGGCAGAUCAAAAAGAUAUUGGUUAUAACAAAAUCUGAUACCAAAUAGGAAUACUCCCAACCACACUCCCAGCCAAGAACCUCUCUGCAAAUCCAAGCAAAGAUCAAGUUAAUGGAUAAAGCAAACGCUCAGAGUCCACAGACAGGACAUUAUAUAAAACCAUUGGAACAUGCUGCAGAACACUCAUCUCCAGACUCCAAAAGUGCAGCAAACAUAUAAACGCAACUCCUAGACCUGCCCUCCGUGAUGAAAUGGAGAACAAUAUUAAAAAAUAUUAUAAAGCAAGAGUUACAAUUGAUGCGAGAAAAACAAACAAAAAUGAACUACUGUAGCAAAUAAUCCUCAACCCUUAACAAACAUCGGCAUAUAAAUUGCAUAACGUUUCCUGACUCUGACUUAAUUGGUUACACUAGAAAAAUAGAAAAUGUGUUAUCAGAACUAAAUUUCAAAAACCAACCUUCACAACUCUAGCGACCAAUAAAAUCUUAAGACAGAAUAGAGAACAUAUAUACAUAUAUAAUCAGUAAUCCUGAAUUCCCUCUAUUCAAAAAAUGCGGAACAUCGCUUGAGAACCGAACUUCAAAGUCCAAACUCCAGACUCCAGAUUCAACCUUCCUGUGGAUUCAACUUUCAAGGCUUGCUCCUAUUCCAGAGGGAGGUGGUGACGUGAAGCAGUAGGAGAGACACUUCUUAUGGCAGCAUAAUACUAUAACCUCACCAUGCGUGAUGAAAAGAAACUCAAAUCUGAAGAAAACAUAUCAACUAUUAGAGUAAUUAGCCUGUUAUUAAUUCAGUUUAAUAUAAAGCUGUGUGUGUUGUAUCUUUCGGUUCUGUUAGUAUUGAUAGUUGUUGUUAGUGGCAGUUACAACUGUCAAAGUAACUGCCUCAUCAACUUAGCUCUUCUUUAAAUAGUAGCUAAAUCUCUUUCUUUCAUUGUAAUCAGAAAUACAGAAACAAUUCUAAUAAGAAAUUCAAUUCUCUCUUCUUUCUUUUCUUUCAUUUUCCAUUCUUUACAUCAACCAACAUCAGAGUAACAAUAUAAGCUUUUACAAGAACUCUCCAAACCAAGCUCUGGAUCAUCAAAAAUAGGGGGCCACAACCAAGCUAUUACUCCCCCAUUGAUAUGGAAAAGUAAGUCAAACGUGAUUCUUGUGCCCUGACUCAUGAUUCCUAAACAAAAAUGUUCUUAGAUUUGUUCUAAAUCCUGAAUUUCCACCACAAUUCCUUCAUGAAUCAGAUCGUCAUGAACAUCAUGUUAAUCCUGCGUUCUUGAGCUGGGAGGAACAAGACCAGAAUGUGUUUUCGUGGCUCUUGAAUUCUAUCUCAGAUUCAAUAAGACCUCGUGUGGUAGGAUGCACCACUUCUUUUCAACUCUGGCAGGAAUUGCACUCUUUUUGUAAUGCUCACACUAAAGCAAGAAGUCGCCAACUUAGGGCACAACUUCGUAGUGUUUCACAAGGUUCCAAUUGCAUCUCUGAUUAUUUUUCAAAAAUCAAGAUGUUAACUGAUUCCUUUGCUUCAAUUGGAACGCCAAUUACCUUGGAGGAACAUGUUGAUUUUGUUCUAGACGGUCUCAAUGAAGAAUUUCAUCCACUCAUUACUACUAUUGAAGGACAGACGCAUCCUCCUUCUGUCAAUGAGUUAGAGCAAUUUCUUCUCACUUUUGAAUCAAGGUUAGUGAAAAAUAAACACAAAACUGUGUCUGAUGCGUUUUCUGCUAAUAUUGCUACCACUGAAUCUUCUCCUACUCAAUCCCCUGCUUCUGUCACCAACACUCCUCUUCUUCCUCAUCCACCUUAUCGUGCUCGUUUUCCUUCAAUGCCUCUAUUUCGUGGUUCAUCUAAUCAAACUUAUGGUGGAUCUCGUGGAGGGGGACGCUUUGGCAGACGAGGUCGUGGUAAUAGGUCAUCUGGCAGAACUUCAGUAUACUUCUGUGAGUAUUGCAAUAGACAUGGUCAUGAUGUGACCUGGUGUUAUUUUGCUCCAUAUGAUACCUCCUACACAAUGCCUUCUGCUUAUGAUCACAACUACAAUACUCAACAAUUUUCAGACUCUUAUGCUUCAUUUGGUCAUCCUCCAGUGCUACAGAAUCCUGCUUAUGGAGUGCCUCAUCAUUAUACAAGGCCAAGAACAUCUCUCUAUUCCUAUAAUCAACCAAGACCUUCAUACAAUUCACAUUCCUCAAGUCACUAUUUGACAAAUCCUAAAGGCACUGUUAGACUUGAUACUCAUCAGCCACCUUAUGCAAUGAAUGUGACCAACACUGUUCAAGAUUUCAACAAAACAUCUAUGUGGUAUCCAGAUUCAGGUGCUACAAAUCAUCUAACUGCUGAUUCAUCCUUGUUAGCUGAUCCUACAGAGCAGUUUGCCUCUGAUCACAUCUAUAUGGGUAAUGGUCAUAAAGCUCCUAUUCACCAACACUCCUCUUCUUCCACAUCCCCCUUAUCGUGCUCGUUUUCCUUCAAUGCCUCUAUUUCGUGGUUCAUCUAAUCAAACUUAUGGUGGAUCUCGUGGAGGGGGACGCUUUGGCAGACGAGGUCGUGGUAAUAGGUCAUCUGGCAGAACUUCAGUAUACUUCUGUGAGUAUUGCAAUAGACAUGGUCAUGAUGUGACCUGGUGUUAUUUUGCUCCAUAUGAUACCUCCUACACAAUGCCCUCUGCUUAUGACCACAACUACAAUGCUCACUUUAAGUCCCCUUUUGACUCUAAUAUAUCUAUGUCAUUGUAUAAUCUGCUUCUUGUUCCAUCAUUAUACAAGGCCAAGAACAUCUCUCUAUUCCUAUAAUCAACCAAGACCUUCAUACAAUUCACAUUCCUCAAGUCACUAUUUGACAAAUCCUAAAGGCACUGUUAGACUUGAUACUCAUCAGCCACCUUAUGCAAUGAAUGUGACCAACACUGUUCAAGAUUUCAACAAAACAUCUAUGUGGUAUCCAGAUUCAGGUGCUACAAAUCAUCUAACUGCUGAUUCAUCCUUGUUAGCUGAUCCUACAGAGCAGUUUGCCUCUGAUCACAUCUAUAUGGGUAAUGGUCAUAAAGCUCCUAUUACUUGCAGUGGCAAUGCUCACUUUAAGUCUCCUUUUGACUCUAAUAUAUCUAUGUCAUUGUAUAAUCUGCUUCUUGUUCCCACUAUUACAAAAAAUCUUCUUAGUGUGUCUCAAUUUGCCAAGGACAAUCAUUGCUUUUUUGAAUUCCAUCCUAACCAUUGUCUUGUUAAAUCACAGGCUACUAAACAGGUUCUCCUUAAAGGCUCUCUCACUGCAAAGGGACUCUAUGCCUUCUCAAGUCUUGUUAAACCUUCUUCAAUUCACUGUAAUUUCAGUUCUGCAUCCCCUUUAUGUGCAAAUAAUUCUAGCUUACCUAGUUCUAAGUCUGUCUCCUUACAAACUCUGGCAUUAUAGACUAGGACAUGCCCAUGAGGCUGCUGUAAAGAAUGUAUUGCAACAAUGUAACAUUUUACAUUCUAAUAAAACAUCUCUUGAUUUCUGUGUUGCUUGUUGUUGUGCUAAGGCUCAUAAAUUACACUCUCCAAACUCUACUACUGUGUAUGCCAAGCCUUUUGAUCUUUUAUACUUGGAUUUAUGGGGUCCUGCUCCUGUCCACUCAGAAACAGGGUUUAGAUAUUACCUAUCCAUAGUUGAUGCUCACACCAGGCACACUUGGAUUUAUCUACUAAAGAAAAAGUUAGACACCCUUCUCAUCUUUCAACACUUUCAUAAGUAUGUUCAUACUCAGUUUCAGUCUCAAAUUAAAGUCAUCCAAAGUGAUUGGGGGGGUGAGUUUAGACCAUUUAGUCAAUAUCUAACCUCACUAGGAAUUAUUCACAGAGUUUCAUGCCCUCAUAGUCAUCAUCAACAAGGGACUGUUGAGAGAAAACAUAGGCAUAUAGUGGAAACUGGUUUAGCCUUGCUCACUCAUGCUUCAUUACCUAUGUCAUAUUGGGAAUAUGCCUUUACCACAACAGUUUUUCUCAUCAACAGAUUACCUUCCCCAUCCCUAAACCAAUCUUCACCUCACUAUCUUCUGUUUGGUGUGCAACCUGACUAUUCUUACCUUAAAGUGUUUGGGUGUGCUUGCUUUCCUUUGUUAAGACCUUACAACAACAACAAGCUACAGAUAAGAUCAUCUGAAUGUAUUUUUCUGGGCUACUCUACCCAUCACAAAGGAUACAAAUGUCUUUCUCAUGAUGGCAAAUUAUACAUUUCUAAAGAUGUUGUGUUCAAUGAGUUUGUUUUUCCUAAAGAGUCUAAAGAGUCUGUCAUGUCUCAUUCAGAGUCUAUGUCUUCUCCUAUACCUCAUCCUCCUCAAAUAACCCACUUUUAUCCCCACUCUGCUCCUGGUACAACAGAUUCAGGUGCUACCUUUUCUAUUCCCACAUCCUCUUCUAAUCCUACUCCUCAUCAACAACAACAAACACAAACUGAGUCCUCUGCUUCUUUAUGUCCCUCUUCUUCAUCAACACCUCCCUCUUCACCUAAUAAUCAGCCAAUAACAAUACACCAUGAGUCCUCAACAACACAUCCUGAGUCACCAACAACCACAAACACUGAGUCUACUUCACUUCUUCCUCUUCCUCUUGUAUCUCAGUCUAUUCAUCCUAUGCAAACCCGUUCUAAGUCUGGAAUUGACAAGUCUUUUGUUCCUAGAGUUCCUAGGGCCUUGCUUGUUCAAAGUGAGCCAACUUCUGUUAAAACUGCUCUUAGUGAUCCUCUGUGGGUUCAAGCUAUGCAAGAAGAAUACAAUGCUCUAAUAAAGUUAGGCACUUGGUCUAUUGUUGAUUUGCCUAGAGACAAACAAGCUAUUGGUUGUAAAUGGGUGUUUAGGAUUAAGGAAAAUCCUGAUGGGACAGUAAAUAGGUAUAAAGCAAGGCUUGUGGCUAAAGGUUUUCAUCAAAAACAGGGCAUUGACUACACAGAGACCUUUUCUCCUGUUGUAAAACCUAUUACUAUCAGAAUCCUUCUCACACUAGCAGUUACUUUUCAUUGGCCUAUUGAACAACUGGAUAUUAAUAAUGCUUUUCUAAAUGGCAUUCUGCGUGAGGAAGUCUAUAUGAUUCAACCUGCUAGCUUCCAUAAUGGUAAUAAGGCUCAAGUGUGCAAGCUUCACAAGGCUUUGUAUGGCUUAAAACAGGCCCCAAGACAGUGGUUUGAGAAGCUCAAAAGUACUCUGGUUCAGUUUGGUUUCUUGAACAGUAGGUGUGACAAUUCCUUAUUCAUUCAUACCUCAACUACAUACAGGCUCUAUGUACUUGUGUAUGUAGAUGAUAUUAUUAUCACAAGAUCUUCUGCUUCCCAGGUUAAUCAACUCAUUGUAAAACUAAGCAAUGCCUUUGUAUGCCUUUGCUUUAAAGAGACUAGGCUCACUGGAAUAUUUUCUUGGCAUAGAAGUUAAACCUAUGACUAAUGGUUCACUGUUUCUCUCUCAAACAAAGUAUGUCAAGGAUCUUCUUAAAAAGGCUAAUAUGGAUUCUGCCAAGUCUCUACCUACUCCUAUGUCUUCUUCUUGCAAAUUGACAAAGACAGGUUCUUCACCUUUUGACAAUCCCACACUUUACAGAUCCAUAGUGGGAGCACUUCAGUAUGCCACAAUUACAAGACCAGAUCUUGCAUUCAGUGUCAAUAAAGUGUGUCAAUAUAUGUCAAAUCCUUUGGAGCAUCACUGGACUGCUGUUAAAAGAAUUCUCAGGUACUUACAAGGUUCUCUCACCCUUGGCAUACAACUCAGACCAGCUAGUCCUCACUGUUCUCUAUCCAUCACAGCAUUUUGUGAUGCUGAUUGGGCAUCAGAUCCAGAUGAUAGAAAAUCAGUCUCAGGUGCUUGCCUAUUUGUUGGACCUAACAUUGUUACUUGGUGGUCAAAAAAGCAACAAACUGUCUCUAGGUCAAGUACUGAGGCUGAAUAUAGAAGCCUAGCUCUAGCCUCUCAAAAGCUCAUUUGGAUUGAGUCUCUCCUCUCAGAGCUGAAGUUUGCUCAUCAAUGUCCCCUUGUUCUCUGUGAUAAUCUCAGUAUUGUUGCCAUGGCACACAAUCCUAUUCUUCAUCACAGGACAAAACACAUUGAGUUGGAUCUAUUCUUUGUAAGAGAUAGAGUCCAAUCCAAUCUGUUGCAAAUAAAGCACAUACCAUCUGAAGAUCAGACAGCAGAUGCUCUAACUAAACCUCUUUCUAAUUCAAGGUUUCUGGCUCUAAGGAAACUGCUUCAAGUGGUUGAUAGAUUUUCAACACACCCACAGCUUCAGGGGGGAAUAUUAGAGUAAUUAGUCUGUUAUUAAUUCAGUUUAAGCUUCUUGUAUAAAGCUGUGUGUGUUGUAUCUUUCGGUUCUGUUAGUAUUGUUAGUUGUUGUCAGUGGCAGUUACAACUGUCAAAGUAACUGCCUCAUCAACUUAGCUCUUCUUUAAAUAGUAGCUAAAUCUCUUUCUUUCAUUGUAAUCAGAAAUACAGAAACAAUUCUAAUAAGAAAUUCAAUUCUCUCUUCUUUCUUUUCUUUCAUUUUCCAUUCUUUACAUCAACCAACAUCAGAGUAACAAUAUAAGCUUUUACAAGAACUCUCCAAACCAAGCUCUGGAUCAUCAAAAAUAGGGGGCCACAACCAAGCUAUUACUCCCCCAUUGAUAUGGAAAAGUAAGUCAAACGUGAUUCUUGUGCCCUGACUCAUGAUUCCUAAACAAAAAAUAGUACAAGUCCAAAAUAGACAAAUCCAGAAGUUCAUAAUUAAGGAUGUAAGAUAACAAACACCAUACUUGAUAUGUCCCACCACAACUCCCACAUACAAGUUAUCUCUGUGUAACGAAAGCACAAGAAUUCAAAAUCCAGGAAGGUUUACCAAAUUCAUAGUUCGCGUAGCAAAAGAAACAUUCUAAAGCUCCUCGGAAAACUUGAAGCUAGAAAACUUCGCAUUCCAAACCAAGUCGCAGAUCAUGCACAACCAAGCUAUCCCAUGUUCCACCUUGAAAAGUUGAAGCAACAAAGACAACCAAAUCAAAAAGGAAAAACACAGAUACCCUAAAGCUAACAGGGCUACAAUUAUCUCCUAAGGAAAAAGGUUCUUUUAAAGGCUACAACAAAACCUAAGGCUUUUGAAGGAUCUUCUAACCAAGGUCCACAACCUACAGUUAUCUUCCCUGUAACACCCAAGCGCAAAACAUAAAUAUGUUGGUAAAUAUUAAACGCUUGACCUAUUCAAACAAGACAAAUCAAAACUUCUCUCAAAGUAGGGCUCACCAAAUUAUGGACGACGCACAAUGCUACAGCACCUUCACAUGAAACACUACGCACAAGAUAACAUUUAAGGGAAAGAUCAUUACACAAUACUACAGGAAACAAAUUUAAAAUUUAUCUUGUUCAUUAAAAAAAGAAGCAACAACUUAUCAAUGAAUUAUUCAGAGAGCAUUUUUUAAGCUUAGAUCUUCAAUUGGAAACAACUAAGGACAGGAAAUUCAUUACAGGCUACUCUAGACUUCUUUGAUCACAUUAAUUCAAGCAGUACAAAUCCAGAACACUCUUUCAGAUUCAGCCCUCGAGGGUUACACCAGCAGGUAGAAUUUCCAGGCCCAAAAAUACGGCACAUGAAUAACGCAAUAAGUUCAACACCUAGAUUGUCAUGAUCAAUGGCAGAACAAUAUUCAAAGAAUUGAACAAAGAAUCAGAAACUUUUAUCAACUUAUUGAUUAUUGAUGCAAUAAUCAGCAAGUGUAGCUCACAGGAUUCGAACAUUUGACAUUUGUCCUAGUACGAUAUCUGGGGAUCCAAUGGGUCCUUAGACCACUACACAAAUGCCUCAUCGACAACCGCUAUAGAAUUAAAAUUCAAGAAAACCAAGCUUUUUAUGUUAAAAAACAUAUUCACAGAAUACUAUAAAAAUAUUUUCAAGUGCAGAACUAUUAAAAAAAUCAAACCUGGACGUACGGGAACAAUAUCAUCAUAAAUAGUUGACUGCAAACUCCUAAAAAUUACCGAUGUAACACCCUUAGAAGUAUUAUAUGACAAAUCAUGCAUAAGGUGUUGGUUCACAUAUUGUUCAAUUAAAGAUUCAAUUUGCCUAAAGGUUUAGGUGCUCAAUACACGAAGUUGUGACACUACAAGCCUGUGACAAAGAAGAUUAUGACAUGGAGAGGAAAAACUUAUAGAUAAGAAAACAUCAAUAUAGCAUAGAAGAAUUCUCCAAACCAAAUACGCAUAUCAUCACAACCAUCACACAGUCCCAAAGCAUCAAAGGUACUACAUAGACUCCUCAUAAGAGAGAAACUACUGCAUCCCAAAACUCGUAUGCAUCCUGAUACAUAAACACAGUAAUGAGCAUAUCCACAGAUAUCCAAAUCCAGAAGAAGCACAUACGAGGGGGACAAACAAGAAUAAAGUUUUUUAAUGGUAACAUAACCUAAGAAGCAACAGAAUUCCAUCGAUACCCCCAAUCACUGCUUCCACAGUACAGAACAUUAUCAUUUCCAAGUAAAGCAAGCUAAAUGCAUGGGAAACGCACGGAAUCUGAAAGAACUUAUAAACGAAAGACAAAUCCAAGAGUUCAAAAUCCAGAUACAGGUCACCAAGUUCAGAAUGUGACUGAAAAUGCAUACACUAAAUGUGAAAUGACCUUCAAAAUUCAACUCCGCGUCAUAAAAAGGAGAUACGGAAUUUAAGAAACUAAAUGAUUAAAUAAUGAAUCAAACCCCUUAGCUUAAAAGAUUGACAAAAAUUGGUUAGGAUCCAACUUCAACCUCCACAAAAUAAGGAGUCUCGACUUGAUUGUAAAUCUGAGGCAUAUGUAGUCACCUGAAGCAGGAUGAUGGACCCCAACUUCCGACAAACUGUGGAAGACCAUAUCAGUUUUAGCUAAAAAUAUUAGAACUUUCAAAAAACCAACACACAGAUACUCCAAAAAAGAACCAAAAGCCCAAGCAAGGUCUCAUUCCUCCCUUGAUAUCGCUUUAACAUGACCAUAUUCCAUAUAAAUGGACAAUUAGAUCAAAGUAAC
RNAcentral lists this long non-coding RNA (9207 nucleotides) under Lupinus angustifolius (narrow-leaved blue lupine). RNAcentral's name for it is "long non-coding RNA (LANG_LNC000792)". The record is from RNAcentral. Lineage: Eukaryota; Viridiplantae; Streptophyta; Magnoliopsida; Fabales; Fabaceae.